ACGACGUUGUUAGGUCGGGUGUGAAAGCGCAGUGGUGCGUUGAGCUAACCGGUACUAAUGAACCGUGAGGCUUAACAUUAAAACGCCGAAGAUGGUUU
This 98-nucleotide ribosomal RNA is filed under the name Escherichia coli. RNAcentral describes it as "partial 23S ribosomal RNA". The record is from RNAcentral. Lineage: Bacteria; Pseudomonadati; Pseudomonadota; Gammaproteobacteria; Enterobacterales; Enterobacteriaceae.